Mayamaea pseudoterrestris is the source of this 96-nucleotide non-coding RNA. Lineage: Eukaryota; Bacillariophyta; Bacillariophyceae; Sellaphorales; Sellaphoraceae. The record is from the annotation of a GenBank genome assembly.
GACUCUAUGGCGCAAUUGGCAGCGCAUCGGAUUCCAGAGACAUGUAACACAUACGGAUGUACCCGAAGGUUGGGGGUUCGAGUCCCUCUGGGGUCA